UACGUAGGGUGCGAGCGUUGUCCGGAAUUAUUGGGCGUAAAGGGCUCGUAGGCGGUUUGUCGCGUCGGGAGUGAAAACCCAGGGCUUAACCCUGGGCUGGCUUCCGAUACGGGCAGACUAGAGGUAUGCAGGGGAGAACGGAAUUCCUGGUGUAGCGGUGAGAUGCGCAGAUAUCAGGAGGAACACCGGUGGCGAAGGCGGUUCUCUGGGCAUUACCUGACGCUGAGGAGCGAAAGUGUGGGGAGCGAACAGG
Molecule: ribosomal RNA, 253 nt
Filed under: uncultured bacterium
Lineage: Bacteria
Description: partial 16S ribosomal RNA
Rfam family: Bacterial small subunit ribosomal RNA
Source: RNAcentral